Pocillopora verrucosa is the source of this 148-nucleotide long non-coding RNA. RefSeq lists it as uncharacterized. The record is from RefSeq and is a predicted model, not a curated record. NCBI's taxonomy places the organism in Eukaryota, Metazoa, Cnidaria, Anthozoa, Scleractinia, Pocilloporidae.
GGAAAGACUUAAAAUUGCAAGUUAAGAUAGAAAAUAUGGCAAUUCGACAGCAUGUUCUUCAAAUGGCAUGGUUGACAGACACAAAUGCAAUUGCUCAAAGUCUCUCUUCUGUACAGGAUGGUAUAGUGGUGCAACCAAUGAGACCAAG